This 645-nucleotide long non-coding RNA is filed under the name Polistes fuscatus (common paper wasp). RNAcentral describes it as "uncharacterized LOC122521207, transcript variant X1". The record is from RNAcentral. Lineage: Eukaryota; Metazoa; Arthropoda; Insecta; Hymenoptera; Vespidae.
GAAACGACAGUCGCCACUCGACGCCCGCACCGUACGGAACGCGAGCUUCGUUGAUAUAAAUUUGAGAAGUAAAUAUUUGCGAGAGUGAAGAAGGGUGAGAGCAAAUUUGAAAAGAAGGGGUUGGAUCCAACUCACCCAACACCACCACCACCACCACCACAACUCGUGGCCGGUCCGCUGCACGCGGGAAACUGGCUGAAAGUUUGAAAGGGAAGAAGAGAGGAAACAGAGAGGACUGGAGGAAGUUGACUACUUCGAUAUCACACGCGCAGACGAACGAUAAAAACAAUACAAAAGAGUGGGACAAAAACAAAAAACUGAAUUAAGGAAUAGUAGAAUAAUAAGAAGAAAAAGUGGUAGAUUUUGGGAAAAAUCAGGUGUGGGAUCAAAUCGAAGUCGAGGGAAAACAAAGUGGCGGAAGUUUGUGAAGUAAUUGAACGUGCGGAGAGGAACGUGAGGGGAGGAGUGGAAGAAGAAGAAGAAUAUUUUCGUAAAAAGAAACAUAUCUUUCAAAGUAUCACGCGAUUCCGAAUGAUAAUUCCAAUGCGACGAGCGUCAAGAGGAAGGUGACGAGGUUGGGUCACACACGAGAGAAAGAGAUAGAAGAAACAAAAAAAAAAGAAGAAGAAAUUAAAGAAGAAAACA